GUGCCAGCAGCCGCGGUAAGACGUAGGGGGCGAGCGUUGUCCGGAAUCAUUGGGCGUAAAGAGCGCGCAGGCGGCUUGGUAAGUCGGACGUGAAAACCCGAGGCUCAACCUCGGGCGUGCAUCCGAUACUGCCCGGCUAGAGGUAGGUAGGGGAGAUCGGAAUUCCUGGUGUAGCGGUGAAAUGCGCAGAUAUCAGGAGGAACACCGGUGGCGAAGGCGGAUCUCUGGGCCUUACCUGACGCUCAGGCGCGAAAGCUAGGGGAGCGAACAGGAUUAGAAACCCGGGUAGUCC
Molecule: ribosomal RNA, 292 nt
Filed under: uncultured bacterium
Lineage: Bacteria
Description: partial 16S ribosomal RNA
Rfam family: Bacterial small subunit ribosomal RNA
Source: RNAcentral